RNAcentral lists this ribosomal RNA (501 nucleotides) under uncultured bacterium. RNAcentral describes it as "partial 16S ribosomal RNA". It matches the Rfam family "Bacterial small subunit ribosomal RNA", at positions 30 to 523 of the family's 1533-position model. The record is from RNAcentral.
AUUGAACGCUGGCGGCAGGCUUAACACAUGCAAGUCGAGCGGGGGAAGGUAGCUUGCUACCGGACCUAGCGGCGGACGGGUGAGUAAUGCUUAGGAAUCUGCCUAUUAGUGGGGGACAACAUCUCGAAAGGGAUGCUAAUACCGCAUACGUCCUACGGGAGAAAGCAGGGGAUCUUCGGACCUUGCGCUAAUAGAUGAGCCUAAGUCGGAUUAGCUGGUUGGUGGGGUAAAGGCCUACCAAGGCGACGAUCUGUAGCGGGUCUGAGAGGAUGGACCGCCACACUGGGACUGAGACACGGCCCAGACUCCUACGGGAGGCAGCAGUGGGGAAUAUUGGACAAUGGGGGGAACCCUGAUCCAGCCAUGCCGCGUGUGUGAAGAAGGCCUUAUGGUUGUAAAGCACUUUAAGCGAGGAGGAGGCUACUCUAGUUAAUACCUAGGGAUAGUGGACGUUACUCGCAGAAUAAGCACCGGCUAACUCUGUGCCAGCCGCCGCCGUAA